GAUUGGGAGCACACUUAAAAAUCCUCUUACUACACAACUGACAAUUAAAUUCAACUUGUAACACUUAAAUAAUUUUGUUCUAACAUGGACAAGAAGAUUGAACAAAGUGUACUUGGGAAGAGUAAAUAUAAGUAUUGAUUCUGGUUAAGGUAAAGGUCGAGGCCAUGUUUUAUUUUGUAUUUAUUGAGCUGAGUGGGGAUGAAUAUAAAUUAAUGUUAUUUCAUUUAUACUGUACCUGUGUGCUGGUAGAAAUUGACAUCGACUGUCUUUUUGGAACUAACUGACCACAUUUCACCAAUAAUAGAAAGUCUCUCUAUAUUGGUGAAAUGUGGUCAGUUAGUUCCAACACUGUGGCCCUUGGAAAACGGUAGCACUUUAUCUCCUCUGCAUCUGACAGUAUACAAAACUAGAGGUUUUGUGCGGUCUUGAAAUAUUCUUUCUCUUAAGUGGCAUCUCAUAAAUAAAAUAUGGAACGCUGCAGCCAUUUUGUAAAAACCUAAGAUAAUAGUAAGAGUGGUAGUAAGUAUUUUGUGAACUCUAAAAUGUGGGUAGAGCACUCUUAGGUUGAGGAUCAAAUUGAAUGUUGGUCAGAAGUUUUGAAUUAGGAUUUUUUGUGAAAUUGGUGUAUGACUUAAAACUUGUCUUAAAUAUGAUCUUACACUUACGAUGUUUUGUGAAAUUGGACAUAGGAUUUUGAAAAGAGGGG
This 706-nucleotide long non-coding RNA is filed under the name Mytilus galloprovincialis (Mediterranean mussel). The record is from RNAcentral. Lineage: Eukaryota; Metazoa; Mollusca; Bivalvia; Mytilida; Mytilidae.